Molecule: ribosomal RNA, 600 nt
Filed under: uncultured Bacteroidota bacterium
Lineage: Bacteria; Pseudomonadati; Bacteroidota
Description: bacterial SSU rRNA
Rfam family: Bacterial small subunit ribosomal RNA
Source: RNAcentral
AGAGUUUGAUCAUGGCUCAGGAUGAACGCUAGCGGCAGGCCUAAUACAUGCAAGUCGAACGAGAUUUAUGACUUCGGUUAUAAUGAAAGUGGCGCACGGGUGCGUAACGCGUAUGCAACCUACCCUUUACUGGGGGAUAGCCCGGAGAAAUUCGGAUUAAUACCCCAUGGUAUUUACAGAUGGCAUCUGAAGUAAAUUAAAGAUUUAUCGGUAAGGGAUGGGCAUGCGUGACAUUAGCUAGUUGGUGAGGUAACGGCUCACCAAGGCAACGAUGUCUAGGGGUUCUGAGAGGAUGAUCCCCCACACUGGUACUGAGAUACGGACCAGACUCCUACGGGAGGCAGCAGUAGGGAAUAUUGGUCAAUGGGCGAGAGCCUGAACCAGCCAUGCCGCGUGCAGGAAGACAGCUUUCUGAGUUGUAAACUGCUUUUAUAUGGGAAGAAAAAGGUCCUGCGGGACAAAUUGCCGGUACCAUAUGAAUAAGCACCGGCUAACUCCGUGCCAGCAGCCGCGGUAAUACGGAGGGUGCAAGCGUUGUCCGGAUUUAUUGGGUUUAAAGGGUGCGUAGGCGGAUCUUUAAGUCAGUGGUGAAAUCCUGCA